Physeter macrocephalus (sperm whale) is the source of this 588-nucleotide long non-coding RNA. RefSeq lists it as uncharacterized. The transcript is spliced from 4 exons. Lineage: Eukaryota; Metazoa; Chordata; Mammalia; Artiodactyla; Physeteridae. The record is from RefSeq and is a predicted model, not a curated record.
AAGCUACAGCAGAGGAUAUGGGGGAAGGGGGUCUGUCUCAGGAAGGCCCCCUUGGGUCCUGCUCGGUUACACAACCACCAUUCUACUUUCUGCUUCUCUGAGUCUUACGACUUCAGAUGUCUCAUGUUGAGAAAUGUAACCAACCUACCACAUACAUAAAAAUACAAAUAGCAAUUUAGACAAAAUGAGGUGACAGAGGAAUAUGUUUCAGAGGAAGGAACAAGCUAAACACCCAGAAGAACUAAGUGACUUGAAAAUAGGCAAUCUCCCUGGCUCCAGCACACGGUUUAAAUGCUUUUAGAAAUGUUUCUAUUUCUUUUUUUCGCCUUUGGGAUAAGAGUAAGAAGAAUACUCACCUGGGACGUUGUGACUAUUUCAGCCAUUACAAUCAAACAAACCUGCAAAAGAAAACUUGACCAACACCUCAUUCACAUUCUUAAUCAUCCCUAGAAUGUAAGAGUCAGAAGUGUCAGUACAUUGGUUGAAGCCAAGAAAACAUCAAAGUAUACUGAGUAGUUGGGCAAGUAGAAUCACCAAAUCACUAAGAUGAGAGAAAGAAGAGCCUGAAGGAUUAUGCCUCUUCUUGAG